GUUUAUUAUUAAGUUUAUGUUUAAGAUUAGGUUUAUAAUUAAUUGUAGUAUUGGGAUUAUGUUUCAGAUUAGGAUUCAGAUAAGGAUCAGGGUCAGCACGGGCAUCCCUUGCUGAAUAUAGCAAGGGAAUUCCUCGGCUGACACCAGCAGGGGGAAUCAUUUUAACACUAUUGCUAAAGGUAGGAUUGAGAUUAGGAUUAAAGUUAUAAUUAAGGUUACACAUGGGAUUACGUUAUGGGUUAGGAUUGUAGUAAGGGUUUAUUAGAUUGAGGGUUAGAUUUGGUAUUAGGAUUUGGUUUAGAAUUAGGACUUGGUUUAGGAUUAGGGAUUUAGAUCACUACUUUCCAAAGAUAUACAUAUGGGGUAUAUUUGUACUGAGAAGAUGUUGCUGAGUACAGCUAAAAUAAUUCUAUGACAGUGGGACACACGA
Non-coding RNA from Pelobates cultripes (western spadefoot toad), 430 nucleotides. The record is from the annotation of a GenBank genome assembly. NCBI's taxonomy places the organism in Eukaryota, Metazoa, Chordata, Amphibia, Anura, Pelobatidae.